This 279-nucleotide long non-coding RNA is filed under the name Lathyrus oleraceus (garden pea). RNAcentral's name for it is "Pisum sativum (pea) long non-coding RNA (PSAT_LNC031290)". Lineage: Eukaryota; Viridiplantae; Streptophyta; Magnoliopsida; Fabales; Fabaceae. The record is from RNAcentral.
UGUCGAUUCCAACCUCUUUAAUCCAUCUGAUAACCUCUUCUCGUGUACCAAAUCUUUCCGUCGUCAUAAACGCAUCAGUAGUAUCUACACAUAUUUUGGGAAGAUUUUCCAUUUCUGCCAAAAAAAAAUUAAAAAAAUUAAAAUUAAAAUUAAAAAAAAAAACGUACCAGAAGACUUAAAGAAAGACUUUCGGAACACACAUAACACAUACCGGAACACUUCCCCCAAGAGUUCCGCUAUGCAAAAUUUGUUCACCGGAACUCUUUUAAGAAGUGUUCC